CCUACGGGUGGCAGCAGUGGGGAAUAUUGCACAAUGGGGGAAACCCUGAUGCAGCGACGCCGCGUGAGUGAAGAAGUCCUUCGUUAUGUAAAGCUCUAUCAGCAGGGAAGAAAAUGACGGUACCUGAGUACGCAGCCCCGGCUCCCUACGUGCCAGCCGCCGCGGUAAUACGUAGGGGGCAAGCGUUAUCCGGAUUUACUGGGUGUAAAGGGGGCGUAGACGGCAGUGCAAGUCUGGAGUGAAAGGCGGGGGCUCAACCCCCGGACUGCUCUGGAAACUGUACGGCUGGAGUGCAGGAGAGGUAAGUGGAAUUCCUAGUGUAGCGGUGAAAUGCGUAGAUAUAUGGAAGAACACCAGUGGCGAAGGCGGCUCGCUGGGCUGCAACUGACGCUGAGGCUCGAAAGCAUGGGUAGCGAACAGGAUUAGAUACCCGAGUAGUC
Molecule: ribosomal RNA, 440 nt
Filed under: uncultured bacterium
Lineage: Bacteria
Description: partial 16S ribosomal RNA
Rfam family: Bacterial small subunit ribosomal RNA
Source: RNAcentral